This 253-nucleotide ribosomal RNA is filed under the name uncultured bacterium. RNAcentral's name for it is "partial 16S ribosomal RNA". It matches the Rfam family "Bacterial small subunit ribosomal RNA", at positions 524 to 776 of the family's 1533-position model. The record is from RNAcentral.
UACGGAGGGCGCAAGCGUUGUUCGGAAUCACUGGGCGUAAAGCGCGUGUAGGCGGCUUGGCAAGUCGGGUGUGAAAGCCCGGGGCCUAACCCCGGAACUGCAUUCGAAACUGCCUCGCUCGAGUCCCGGAGAGGAUGGUGGAAUUCCCGGUGUAGUGGUGAAAUACGUAGAUAUCGGGAGGAACACCCGCGGCGAAGGCGGCCAUCUGGGCGGUGACUGACGCUGAGACGCGAAAGCGUGGGGAGCAAACAUG